UACGUAGGCAGCGAGCGUUGUUCGGAAUUACUGGGCGUAAAGCGUGCGCAGGCGGUUAUGUAAGACAGAUGUGAAAUCCCCGGGCUCAACCUGGGAACUGCAUUUGUGACUGCAUAGCGUAGAGUACGGUAGAGGGGGAUGGAAUUCCGCGUGUAGCAGUGAAAUGCGUAGAUAUGCGGAGGAACACCGAUGGCGAAGGCAAUCCCCUGGACCUGUACUG
Molecule: ribosomal RNA, 220 nt
Filed under: uncultured bacterium
Lineage: Bacteria
Description: partial 16S ribosomal RNA
Rfam family: Bacterial small subunit ribosomal RNA
Source: RNAcentral